GAUGAAGAACGUAGCGAAAUGCGAUAAGUAAUGUGAAUUGCAGAAUUCAGUGAAUCAUCGAAUCUUUGAACGCACCUUGCACCCUUUGGCAUUCUGAAGGGUAUGCUCGUUUGAGUGUCAUUGUACUCUCACACUCCCGAUCUUUGCAUUGGGAGCAGUGGACUUGGGUUUGCUGCUUCACCGUCGCUUACCUCAAAUAGGUUAGUGCAACUCUUGGUUGGACAUAGUACGGCGUGAUAAGUGUUCUUCGCCGGUGCCUCGCAAAGAGGGUGGCCGAUCGGGAUGUUGUGCUCCAAACCGUCUUCGGACAAUCUCUGACGACUUAACCUCAAAUCGAGUAAGACUACCCGCUGAACUUAAGCAUAUCAAUAAGCGGAGGA
RNAcentral lists this unclassified non-coding RNA (380 nucleotides) under soil metagenome. RNAcentral describes it as "partial contains 5.8S ribosomal RNA, internal transcribed spacer 2, and large subunit ribosomal RNA". The stretch from base 1 to 120 matches the Rfam family "5.8S ribosomal RNA", at positions 35 to 154 of the family's 154-position model. The record is from RNAcentral.